GAUGAACGCUGACGGCAUGCUUAACACAUCAGCAAUGGUUUGGAGGGGGACGGGGGAGUAACGCGUAAAGAACUAGACUCGCAGAUCGGGCCAACAUGUGGGAACGAAUGCUAAUACCUAAGUCCGUGGGAGGGCUUUGCGUCCCAUUAGCUAGUUGGAGAGGUAACGGCUUACCAAGGCGAGGAUGGGUAGCCGGCCUGAGAGGGUGAUCGGCCCCAAAGUGCUGGAGGCACCGCCCUUGCUGCAUCUUGAGGCAGCAGUGGGGACCAUUUGCCAAUAUACCGCUGUCUGAUCCAGCCAUUCUGUUUGUACGACGCUGUUGUCGGAAUGUAAAGUGCUGUCAGUUGGGCACCGGUACCUACAGAAGAAGCGCCGGCUAACUACGUGCCAGCCGCCGCGGUAAUUC
RNAcentral lists this ribosomal RNA (406 nucleotides) under uncultured bacterium. RNAcentral's name for it is "partial 16S ribosomal RNA". It matches the Rfam family "Bacterial small subunit ribosomal RNA", at positions 28 to 526 of the family's 1533-position model. The record is from RNAcentral.